AUGUACAUUAUGGCUCUCUCCUUGCCUGGAACUGGAUAUGAGAAAUGCUUGAAUUAAGAUCUGUGAAUUAUCUUAUUUUCUUGAGAUCUUCAACAGCAGAAAUCAAGAGAGAGAUUCGUCAAAGAAAUGAAGGCUCCUCUGCAAGACAGGAUGUGCCCACUAACAAGAGUUAAAUAAAAACUUCAGAAUUCAGUAUGCAUUACAUGAAUCAAUAUAUAAAAAGAGUCAGAAGGAUGCAGAUUGCCCAUACUUCAUAGCAGAGCAACAGGAGGGACUUAGGGACAAAAAGAGGAAAACGAAGGCAUUACAAAACAAGCAUAUUAAGUAUACGAUUCACAUCCCAACAGCUCAAAGGCAAGGAAGACUGAGGAAGCUAAGUUACUGGCCAUAUGUUUAAUAAAUAUAAGCUUAAUGGCAGUGAAUGUAUUAAUGUCAGCGAAGACAAGUCUAUGAAGUUAAACAGGCACAGAGAGGCUAAGAGUCUUGCCAAAGGCCACAGAGGAAGGAAGAGACUAAAUCUGGAACAAACUUUCUAUUCUCCAUUUCCAGAAGAAACCACUAAACCAUGCUUCCUCUUGUCAUGGAAGCUUAAAAUAUUUGGACUGUCUGUGGAUCCAGGGAGGAAUUUCAGAAGAGCCAGGAUUAGUCAAUCAAAUUAAACUCAAUAUCACCCAAAUAAAGUUGGUCAGAUCAAACUACGUUUAAAUAAGAAUUAAAAUGCCAUUUGUCCAUCACCUAAUGGCUCAAUUUGCUCCUGCCUUGGGUGUGCACACCCUGCUCUGGAACAGACCAGAGCUCUAAAGAAGUGACUGGAAGUUGUGAAUGUCAUUGUUAUGAAGCUUCAAAUUUGCUCUCCUCUUUAGGACACAGACAUGGCAUUAGAGAAGGGCAGAAAACUGCACUUGGCUGUGCAUAGAGAACACUAGAGACCUCUUGUGCAAGAGAGGGGACUAGGUUGCGUAGUGUAAUGAGAGAAGCAUGGGUUUUGAGACCGCUACAAUGUCUGUGUCUUCUUGGCCAACAUUUCAGUAAGAGUAGUAAGCAUAUCUCCACAAUAGGGUUAAGAGAACCAGUGUCUUCUGAAAAACACAUGAAAUCAUCGUAACCCUGCUAAGUCUGUGCUUUGCAAAAAUUAAAACUAAAACUAAUUUUCA
Molecule: long non-coding RNA, 1154 nt
Filed under: Homo sapiens (human)
Lineage: Eukaryota; Metazoa; Chordata; Mammalia; Primates; Hominidae
Description: long intergenic non-protein coding RNA 382
Source: RNAcentral